UUACCUUGUUACGACUUCACCCCAAUCAUCUACCCCACCUUCGGCGGCUGGCUCCUUGCGGUUACCUCACCGACUUCGGGUGUUGCAAACUCUCGUGGUGUGACGGGCGGUGUGUACAAGGCCCGGGAACGUAUUCACCGCGGCAUGCUGAUCCGCGAUUACUAGCGAUUCCGACUUCAUGUAGGCGAGUUGCAGCCUACAAUCCGAACUGAGACUGGUUUUCAGAGAUUGGCGUACUCUCGCGAGCUAGCAUCCCGUUGUACCAGCCAUUGUAGCACGUGUGUAGCCCAGGUCAUAAGGGGCAUGAUGAUUUGACGUCAUCCCCGCCUUCCUCCGUCUUGUCGACGGCAGUCUCUCUAGAGUGCCCAACUGAAUGCUGGCAACUAAAGAUAAGGGUUGCGCUCGUUGCGGGACUUAACCCAACAUCUCACGACACGAGCUGACGACAACCAUGCACCACCUGUCACCGCUGCCCCGAAGGAAGCCUGAUCUCUCAGACGCUCAGCGGGAUGUCAAGACCCGGCAAGGUCCUCCGCGUUGCUUCGAAUUAAACUACAUCCUCCACGGCUUGUGCGGGCCCCCGUGAACUCAUCUG
RNAcentral lists this ribosomal RNA (595 nucleotides) under uncultured bacterium. RNAcentral describes it as "partial 16S ribosomal RNA". The record is from RNAcentral.